This 426-nucleotide ribosomal RNA is filed under the name uncultured bacterium. Its description in RNAcentral is "bacterial SSU rRNA". It matches the Rfam family "Bacterial small subunit ribosomal RNA", at positions 8 to 424 of the family's 1533-position model. The record is from RNAcentral.
AGAGUUUGAUCCUGGCUCAGAUUGAACGCUGGCGGCGUGCUUAACACAUGCAAGUCGUGCGAGAAAGGGGACUUCGGUCCCUGAGUAGAGCGGCGCACGGGUGAGUAACGCGUGGAUAAUCUCCCCAGAAGUUCGGGAUAACGGCGGGGAACUGCCGCUAAUACCGGAUACGCUCCAAUUUCGGUUGGGGGAAAGGCGGCCUCUGUUUACAAGCUGUCGCUUCUGGAUGAGUCCGCGUCCCAUUAGCUUGUUGGUGGGGUAAUGGCCUACCAAGGCUACGAUGGGUAGCUGGUCUGAGAGGAUGAUCAGCCACACUGGAACUGAAACACGGUCCAGACUCCUACGGGAGGCAGCAGUGGGGAAUAUUGCGCAAUGGGGGAAACCCUGACGCAGCGACGCCGUGUGAGGGAUGAAGGCUUUCGGGUC